AGCACACCCACAAGGAAUGCAAAUCUCUCUCUCAGAAUUAUGAUGGACUAUCUUAACGAGUAUGAAAAUAUAAACUCCUCAGAAUCAGUACAUCUUAUUUCCAUCUUAAAACGUGAGCUUUCAAUCCUUUGUAAAAAAGCAGAUGCACAAAAUUUCAAAGAUGUGCACAUACAUAGGCUAAUACGAGGAAGUGUCAUUGCCGAAAGUACUGCAGUUUACAACUAUCCCAACAACAAUUCACAAAUAAUGUUUCUAAAUAAUGAUUUGGGACCCAUCCUGGAAAAAAUCUUUAAUGACUCAGAUUCAUUUAAAAAUCUCAGCAUAGCUCUCGGUAAUGUUUCCAUCCAAGAUCCCCAAAUUACAAUGGAGGCAGUUAAAAUAU
Labeo rohita (rohu) is the source of this 382-nucleotide long non-coding RNA. RefSeq lists it as uncharacterized. Lineage: Eukaryota; Metazoa; Chordata; Actinopteri; Cypriniformes; Cyprinidae. The record is from RefSeq and is a predicted model, not a curated record. The transcript has 3 exons.